This 253-nucleotide ribosomal RNA is filed under the name uncultured bacterium. RNAcentral describes it as "partial 16S ribosomal RNA". It matches the Rfam family "Bacterial small subunit ribosomal RNA", at positions 524 to 776 of the family's 1533-position model. The record is from RNAcentral.
UACGUAGGUGACCAGCGUUGUCCGGAUUUACUGGGCGUAAAGAGCGCGCAGGCGGUCGUUCAAGUCGAGUGUGAAAGCCCCCGGCUCAACUGGGGAGGGUCACUCGAUACUGAUCGACUUGAAGGCAGGAGAGGGAAGCGGAAUUCCCGGUGUAGUGGUGAAAUGCGUAGAGAUCGGGAGGAACACCAGAGGCGAAGGCGGCGACCUGGACAGUAACUGACACUCAACUACGAAAGCGUGGGGAGCAAACAGG